RNAcentral lists this ribosomal RNA (253 nucleotides) under uncultured bacterium. Its description in RNAcentral is "partial 16S ribosomal RNA". It matches the Rfam family "Bacterial small subunit ribosomal RNA", at positions 524 to 776 of the family's 1533-position model. The record is from RNAcentral.
UACGAAGGGAGCUAGCGUUGUUCGGAAUCACUGGGCGUAAAGCGCACGUAGGCGGAUGUGUCAGUCAGGGGUGAAAUCCCGGGGCUCAACCUCGGAACUGCCUUUGAUACAGCACGUCUUGAGUCCGAUAGAGGUGGGUGGAAUUCCUAGUGUAGAGGUGAAAUUCGUAGAUAUUCGCAAGAACACCAGUGGCGAAGGCGGGUCUCUGGACAGUUCCUGACGCUGAGGCACGAAGGUCAGGGGAGCAAACGGG